Molecule: ribosomal RNA, 236 nt
Filed under: uncultured bacterium
Lineage: Bacteria
Description: partial 16S ribosomal RNA
Rfam family: Bacterial small subunit ribosomal RNA
Source: RNAcentral
GAUCCUGGCUCAGGAUGAACGCUGGCGGCGUGCUUAACACAUGCAAGUCGAGCGAAGCAGUUAAGAAGAUUCUUCGGAUGAUUCUUAACUGACUGAGCGGCGGACGGGUGAGUAACGCGUGGGUGACCUGCCCCAUACCGGGGGAUAACAGCUGGAAACGGCUGCUAAUACCGCAUAAGCGCACAGAGCUGCAUGGCUCGGUGUGAAAAACUCCGGUGGUAUGGGAUGGGCCCGCG